UGCAGGAGCCUGGAGCUCCCGGGGCGGAAGGGGGGGGCGAGGCGUGAAAGGCGCUGCGGGGGAUCAGCGCUGCACAGAAACCGGCUCUCACCCGCUGGCGCGUGGCCGAGGCUCCCCCACCCCACCCGGAGGGUAAGAGAACUAAAUGUGGAUGACAGUGUCUGCCAUGACACCCAUUCUUCAGCUUUGCUAACAGGGCCCUGGUUUUAUGAAGAAUGAGACUAUGUCCAGCCCUAGUUGAUGAAACAGACUCUCUUGCAGCUAGGUGUGGCUAUGUCAGCCUGUUCUGGACAAUGUGAACAAGCAGUAGUCUGUGGAGAGUGGAGGGGUAUUCUAAGAAAACUUAUGCUCCAUUCACAUCUGACUUCCUGCCUUGAAGUGGUGCAUUGUCUGGAACAAUUAGCAGCCAACUUAUAACUGCGGAAAAAGCAAGCUGAAAAGUGAAAGCCAUCUGACUAAACCUAGAGGACCAGAAAGAGAGAAGCAUUUUGGAAUUAUGGGCACAUUGUUAAUUAAAUAAACUAAAACCA
Molecule: long non-coding RNA, 530 nt
Organism: Mesocricetus auratus (golden hamster)
Lineage: Eukaryota; Metazoa; Chordata; Mammalia; Rodentia; Cricetidae
Exons: 2
Source: RefSeq, a predicted model, not a curated record